CAGUCGCCACGGUAAUACGUAGGUGGCAAGCGUUGUCCGGAAUUAUUGGGCGUAAAGGGCUCGCAGGCGGUUUCUUAAGUCUGAUGUGAAAGCCCCCGGCUCAACCGGGGAGGGUCAUUGGAAACUGGGAAACUUGAGUGCGGAAGAGGAGAGUGGAAUUCCACGUGUAGCGGUGAAAUGCGUAGAGAUGUGGAGGAACACCAGUGGCGAAGGCGACUCUCUGGUCUGUAACUGACGCUGAGGAGCGAAAGCGUGGGGAGCGAACAGGAUUAGAUACCCCCGUAGUCCCUGUCUCUUAUAC
Molecule: ribosomal RNA, 301 nt
Filed under: uncultured bacterium
Lineage: Bacteria
Description: partial 16S ribosomal RNA
Rfam family: Bacterial small subunit ribosomal RNA
Source: RNAcentral